Amphimedon queenslandica is the source of this 422-nucleotide RNA transcript. It is a transcript of the gene named palmitoyl-protein thioesterase 1-like, with no coding region annotated. The record is from RefSeq and is a predicted model, not a curated record. NCBI's taxonomy places the organism in Eukaryota, Metazoa, Porifera, Demospongiae, Haplosclerida, Niphatidae. The transcript is spliced from 3 exons.
CUUCAAAAUGGCUGAUUUUCUAUUUGCUGCUCUGACGAUUGCUCUAUUCUUCUCUCCUCCUGCAUCUAGUGCUAGUGAGGAUGACCCAGUUCCUCUUGUAAUAUGGUCUGGAAUGGGUUAGUUAUUAAAGCAAGGGUUUAGAUAGCUUGUGACAGCUGUUGCUAUGAAUAUGGUGCUUAUCAGUUUAAAGUUGUCCUGGAACGUCUUAUACCAGGCAUAUAUAUCAAAAUGGUUGCUUUUGGAAAGACUCCUACAGAGGAUUCAUACAACAGUUUCUUUCUCAAUUCUAAUAAACAGGUUGAACUAGCUUGUGAUUUACUAUCAUCAGAUGAGAUGUUAGCUAAUGGUUUUAAUGCAAUGGGUUUCUCUCAAGGAUCACAAUUCCUGUAAGUUAUUGUCUGCCAAAUUUUGUCAAAAUUAAA